UAAGGAAUAUUGGUCAAUGGACGCAAGUCUGAACCAGCCAUGCCGCGUGAAGGAUGAAGGUCCUCUGGAUUGUGAACUUCUUUUAUCUGGGACGAAAACGGGAUUUUUAUCUCAAUUGACGGUACCAGAGGAAUAAGCACCGGCUAACUCCGUGCCAGCAGCCGCGGUAAUACGGAGGGUGCGAGCGUUAUCCGGAUUUACUGGGUUUAAAGGGUGCGUAGGUGGGCUUAUAAGUCAGUGGUGAAAUCUCCGAGCUUAACUUGGAAACUGCCGUUGAUACUAUAGGUCUUGAAUUAUCUGGAGGUAAGCGGAAUAUGUCAUGUAGCGGUGAAAUGCUUAGAUAUGACAUAGAACACCAAUUGCGAAGGCAGCUUACUACACAAUCAUUGACGCUGAGGCACGAAAGCGUGGGGAUCAAACA
RNAcentral lists this ribosomal RNA (421 nucleotides) under uncultured bacterium. RNAcentral describes it as "bacterial SSU rRNA". It matches the Rfam family "Bacterial small subunit ribosomal RNA", at positions 355 to 774 of the family's 1533-position model. The record is from RNAcentral.